GCUAGGCAGCACUCUAUUUCUGUCGGGGUUCUGACAGGAGAAGAGCAGGUGCAGCACAAUGAACAACUGCAGACCAUCGUUUAGUCGUCAAAGCGGCAGAAUUGGAGCUCUGGAGACUUAUGGAACAAGACUACUGGGACG
Syngnathus acus (greater pipefish) is the source of this 141-nucleotide long non-coding RNA. RefSeq lists it as uncharacterized. The transcript has 2 exons. The record is from RefSeq and is a predicted model, not a curated record. Lineage: Eukaryota; Metazoa; Chordata; Actinopteri; Syngnathiformes; Syngnathidae.